RNAcentral lists this unclassified non-coding RNA (324 nucleotides) under soil metagenome. Its description in RNAcentral is "partial contains 5.8S ribosomal RNA, internal transcribed spacer 2, and large subunit ribosomal RNA". The stretch from base 1 to 120 matches the Rfam family "5.8S ribosomal RNA", at positions 35 to 154 of the family's 154-position model. The record is from RNAcentral.
GAUGAAGAACGUAGUGAAAUGCGAUAAGUAAUGCGAAUUGCAGAAUUCAGUGAGUCAUCGAAUCUUUGAACGCACAUUGCGCCCUGUGGUAUUCCGCAGGGCAUGCCUGUUCGAGCGUCAUUUCAACCCUCAAGCCCCGCUUGGUGUUGGGCCCCGCCCGCCGUGGCCGGCCCUAAAGACAGUGGCGGCACCGCCUGGCCCUCAGCGUAGUACAGCUCUCGCUCCAGGGUCCGGCGGCCGCCUGCCAGAACCCCCCAACUCUGUGGUUGACCUCGGAUCAGGUAGGGAUACCCGCUGAACUUAAGCAUAUCAAUAAGCGGAGGA